This 491-nucleotide ribosomal RNA is filed under the name uncultured bacterium. RNAcentral describes it as "partial 16S ribosomal RNA". It matches the Rfam family "Bacterial small subunit ribosomal RNA", at positions 29 to 506 of the family's 1533-position model. The record is from RNAcentral.
AGUGAACGCUGGCGGUAGGCCUAACACAUGCAAGUCGAACGGCAGCACAGUAAGAGCUUGCUCUUACGGGUGGCGAGUGGCGGACGGGUGAGGAAUACAUCGGAAUCUACUUUUUCGUGGGGGAUAACGUAGGGAAACUUACGCUAAUACCGCAUACGACCUACGGGUGAAAGCAGGGGAUCUUCGGACCUUGCGCGAUUGAAUGAGCCGAUGUCGGAUUAGCUAGUUAGCGGGGUAAAGGCCCACCAAGGCGACGAUCCGUAGCUGGUCUGAGAGGAUGAUCAGCCACACUGGAACUGAGACACGGUCCAGACUCCUACGGGAGGCAGCAGUGGGGAAUAUUGGACAAUGGGCGCAAGCCUGAUCCAGCCAUACCGCGUGGGUGAAGAAGGCCUUCGGGUUGUAAAGCCCUUUUGUUGGGAAAGAAAAGCAGCAGGUUAAGACCCCGCUGUUCUGACGGUACCCAAAGAAUAAGCACCGGCUAACUUCGU